This 401-nucleotide unclassified non-coding RNA is filed under the name Hevea brasiliensis (rubber tree). Lineage: Eukaryota; Viridiplantae; Streptophyta; Magnoliopsida; Malpighiales; Euphorbiaceae. The record is from RNAcentral.
CCUGCUAUUCUGCUUUUAGAUGAGGCAACAAGUGCAUUGGACUCUGAGUCAGAAAAACUGGUGCAGGAGGCUCUUGAUAGGUUCAUGAUUGGGAGGACAACUCUUGUAAUUGCCCACAGGCUCUCCACCAUUCGAAAGGCUGAUCUUGUAGCAGUAAUCCAGCAGGGUAGUGUCACAGAAAUCGGAACCCACGACGAGCUCAUUGCCAAAGGAGAGAACGGUGUUUAUGCCAAGCUCAUCAGAAUGCAGGAAAUGGCUCAUGAAACAGCUAUGAACAAUGCCAGGAAGAGUAGUGCAAGGCCCUCAAGUGCCAGAAACUCCGUGAGCUCACCAAUUAUUGCGCGUAAUUCUUCUUACGGCCGAUCACCAUAUUCACGCAGGCUAUCUGACUUCUCUACCUC